UCCGGUCCUCGGUAGUGGCCCCCGGAGCCUUGCUCCGUGAGCCUCGAUCGAAGACCGCC
Molecule: non-coding RNA, 59 nt
Organism: Cellulomonas sp. A375-1
Lineage: Bacteria; Bacillati; Actinomycetota; Actinomycetes; Micrococcales; Cellulomonadaceae
Source: Rfam